CGUUUACUCGAGCUAAGUUUAGAAAAUUUUCGAACUUAGAUUUAAGAUGAUUCACGCCAGAUUGAGAAAAAGAAUUUAUUUUAAUUCCAACAAAAAUGAUUUACAAAAGCAUUUGUAAAUUUAGUAAUUAAAUUAUAUGCAUUUCAUAUUUAUUUAAUUUAGCAUUCAAGUAUUUUCACGAGCUAUUUAUUUAGCGAACCAUGAAGUAUUAUUACAGUUUUCAUAGUACAACUUGGAAGACUUUUUAUUUUAUUUUAUCUUAUUUUAUUUUAUUUUUUUAUUCCUACUCCCACCACUAACUCCUCCACCUUUCUUCCCACUUUCCCUCCCACUACUCCCACUUACCCCCACUUAUUUCCAUCACCCACGUUCACAAUUCAUUUACCAAACUUUUGCAAUAAUUAACUGAAUUCCUGUAUUCUCCAUUCAUAAUUCCCACAGCUCAUUCUGCCGAGGAGGAGCUCAUGUUUUUAAAAACAGUCGAGCAGUUUCAUAGCUUCAACAUCAAAGCAAUUUCAUAUCUUUGAACAGAACAUCCCCAAGGCUUUGAGCAUCAGGAGGAUUAGCACUGCUAUUCCGAUUCAGAGAUAAGGUUAAACGACAGGCUUUGCCUAGACAGGUUGGCUGGACGGUGCUGACGGGACGGAGCUGAGGCUAAAGAUAAAUUCCUAUGUUAGACUUCCGCUGUAGCAAUUACUCAUAUCCAUCUUUUGUUUUCCCAACUUAAGAUCUUCAUGUUAAAUUUCAAAUGAUAUAUUUGACCGAGCUUAGACUCUUCACUACUAAAUUUAUGCUAAUGAAUGUUGGUUGUCAGAAGCAUGAAACAAAA
Molecule: long non-coding RNA, 829 nt
Organism: Salvia miltiorrhiza (redroot sage)
Lineage: Eukaryota; Viridiplantae; Streptophyta; Magnoliopsida; Lamiales; Lamiaceae
Exons: 3
Source: RefSeq, a predicted model, not a curated record